AUCGAAUCCUGAAGACAGUUUGCGGCCACUUCGUCACAGAGACGGCCAUUUCGUGUGGAGACGAGGAAGGAGUUGGAGGUCAGCUAUCACUCCAGACCAAGAAAUUCGAGGUGCAGGAACCAGCCGUUAUCUUCCUGGCAGUAGGUGGGAAGCAUAAAUAAAUGAAACCACGGGAAAGGCGCCUUUUUAACCAGCAAUCCAAGUACAGGCUUGUGAUGGGGCAAAAAAAAAAAAAAAAAAAGCAUCACCAGCAAGUCUUCAUAAGCGAGGUGCGGAUUCACUUGGCUACCUACUACAGCAUCCCCCGCUUUCUAGCUCACCACAGAAAAGGCGACGGAAGUGGCUCCAUUGGCCCAAGAAACUGUGGUCCUUAUCAACGACUCCCAAGUUACGG
This is a long non-coding RNA of Portunus trituberculatus (swimming crab), 394 nucleotides long. RefSeq lists it as uncharacterized. NCBI's taxonomy places the organism in Eukaryota, Metazoa, Arthropoda, Malacostraca, Decapoda, Portunidae. The record is from RefSeq and is a predicted model, not a curated record. The transcript is spliced from 3 exons.